GUUUCAUAAACCCCUUGAUCAUUUUAGGCUCCUGUAGCAAGGAAGCAGUAAACAAGAAUGGAGUCCUCACAUAGGCAGUGGUAAAUGACCUUGUUCUUCGGGAAGAGGGAGAACUUGACUCAGGAGGGCCAGUGAGUAUUUGUUCCAGGAUUUCUGGAAGAGAAUGGAGCCAAUCUUGCUUGGGUUCCUGGACUUCAGAGAGAGAGAGCACAAGCAGGGAAAGCAGCAGAGGGAAAGGGAGAUGCAGACUUCCCGCUGAGCAGUGAGCCCAACCGUGGCGUUUGAUCCCAAGGACCCUGAGAGCCUGACCUGAGCGGAAGGCAGCAGCUUAACCAACUGAGCCACCCAGGCACGCCAGAAAUGAACGUUUUAGAAAGGAAAAAACAAUAAUAACAAUCCAAUGAUGUGGAGGAUGAGGCAGAAAUCAUAAAAAUGUCCACCAUGGUUAGUAAUGAAUCUCCAGGUUAAGUCUCUAUUCCAUGGGCUUUCCUGGAGAACAAAGGGAGAAGUGGGUGAGACUAGAUUUCCUCAACUCAGCAAGUAAGAGUGAAUGGGAGAGAGUCUGGGGUUUAUUUUUUCUCAAUUAUUUUCUCUGCAUUCAUGUGUAUUUAUAUAAACAUAUGUGUACUCAUAUAGUUAGAAGUAGUGUAAAUGUAGCUUUUAGCUCGGCGAUUUAAGUAAUAACUGUAAGAUUAGUGAAAAAUGUUGUAUGCAUAGGCCAAUAUUUUGGUCAUUUUUAUUUCUCAGUUGCAUUUCCUUGUUUUUUUACUCUGGAGUCUGCAAACAUAUAAUUCAUAGUAAUCAAUUUAAAUUUUCUUUUGAUGUUGAUCUUCAUUAGCUCUUAGUUUAAAUACCAAAUACUUCACACACUACAGAUUCUUGUUUUAAUCCAUGAAUGUAACCAGCAUAUCAUAUUCCCCUUCAUGUGCUUGCUAUUAGUAAGCCUCCAAAUGCUGUUCUCAAUUACACAGAUACGCUAAAUGUAUGUAUAGCAGAAACUUGCUAAUUUGUAACUUAAAAGCCUGGAAAACAAUGGGCUUAAAUUAAUUGGAUAUCUGGUAUUUUUUAUAUUAUAAAACAACUGAAUGUUAACUAGGUUGGGAAAGAACAAUUAUUGUGCUUUGUAUCAUGCACUAUUUUAUAUGAACAGAUAACGGCUUAUUGGAGACUUCUGAGUUAGCUCAUAGCUAUAACUAUGUGUGUUUGACAGCUGUGUAUUUAGGUAGUGGUUGUAGGUCAGUUUGCCAGAAGUCAAUUUACUGAAUGACUAAUUCACUGAAUUAUACGAAUUUCUUAGAGUUGUACUUUUUCCAAUGUCUCUGCUCUUGCCCUUGCCUCUACAUUAUAUGCAAAUGGGUGUUUUCCCUUAAAUGCAAUUUGCUGAAUUCUCUGUGUACACUUAUGUUUGCCCUGUGUCUGGUGACAAAGGGUUAAGUUGGACAUUUGCAUUAGAAUAUUAGACUAAAACAUUAGUUUGGGCCUUUGGCACUGAGGAAUGCUAAACGGAGAACUAGUAAAGAAUGAUGGCCAGAUGAAGAGGACUGGAAUCUUGCUUUGCCAUUAGAGAGCUGCAUGACCUUGAACAAACUAUUUAUCUUCUAAAGGUGUAAGUUUCCUGAUCUCAAGGCAUUAUCAAGUGUGUCAACUGUGAAAAGGAUCUAUGGGAAAGAAAGAAGUGGACUUGUGUUGUACGUACAGUGAACUGAGGAGAGCUUGUGGUCCCUUUUACCUAUGGAGAAGUGUGUUCCUCAUGUAAAUAAUACCUGCUGUGUGUGUACUGAUGGAUAGAGGUUGAGGACAUGGAUCUCAGAUCCUUUCCAGCCCUGAUAGUCUAUGAUUUCAUCAUCUUCCAGGCUGACUGGAACUGCUGUUUUUGGUGUAGGGUUUCUGUGCCUGUGACUUAAGGGAGUUUCCACUCGAUAGUAAUCCAGGAGAUUUACAAUGCAGGUUUGGAUAACAUGCUUCAGCUAAUGGGGUAUAAAAGCAGACACUUAAAACAAUCUUAUUAAUAAAAUGUCAAUG
This is a long non-coding RNA of Mustela lutreola (European mink), 2022 nucleotides long. RefSeq lists it as uncharacterized. The transcript is spliced from 3 exons. The record is from RefSeq and is a predicted model, not a curated record. NCBI's taxonomy places the organism in Eukaryota, Metazoa, Chordata, Mammalia, Carnivora, Mustelidae.